AACGAACGCUGGCGGCAGGCCUAACACAUGCAAGUCGAACGGACCCUUCGGGGUCAGUGGCGCACGGGUGAGUAACGCGUGGGAACGUGCCCUUCAGUACGGAAUAACGUCGGGAAACUGACGCUAAUACCGUAUAAUAUCUCCGGAUCAAAGAUUUAUCGCUGAAGGAUCGGCCCGCGUCUGAUUAGCUAGUUGGUGAGGUAAUGGCUCACCAAGGCUACGAUCAGUAGCUGGUCUGAGAGGAUGAUCAGCCACACUGGGACUGAGACACGGCCCAGACUCCUACGGGAGGCAGCAGUGAGGAAUAUUGGACAAUGGGCGAAAGCCUGAUCCAGCCAUGCCGCGUGUGUGAUGAAGGCCUUAGGGUUGUAAAGCACUUUCGACGGGGAUGAUAAUGACCGUA
RNAcentral lists this ribosomal RNA (403 nucleotides) under uncultured bacterium. RNAcentral's name for it is "bacterial SSU rRNA". It matches the Rfam family "Bacterial small subunit ribosomal RNA", at positions 29 to 459 of the family's 1533-position model. The record is from RNAcentral.